AUACGGAGGAUGCGAGCGUUAUCCGGAUUUAUUGGGUUUAAAGGGUGCGUAGGUGGUAGAUUAAGUCAGCGGUGAAAGUUUGUCGCUCAACGAUAAAAUUGCCGUUGAUACUGGUUUACUUGAGUAUAGUUGAAGUAGGCGGAAUGUGGUGUGUAGCGGUGAAAUGCUUAGAUAUGCCACAGACCACCGAUCGAGAAGUCAGGUCGCGAGUUCACAACUGACGCUCAUGCACGAAAGCGUGGGGAUCAAACAGGAUUAGAUACCCUGGUAGUCCACGCUGUAAACGAUGAUCACUCGUUGUUUGCGAUAUACAGUAAGCGGCCAAGCGAAAGCAUUAAGUAUUCCACCUGGGGAGUACGCCGGCAACGGUGAAACUCAAAUGAAUUGACGGGG
This 393-nucleotide ribosomal RNA is filed under the name uncultured bacterium. RNAcentral's name for it is "partial 16S ribosomal RNA". It matches the Rfam family "Bacterial small subunit ribosomal RNA", at positions 523 to 918 of the family's 1533-position model. The record is from RNAcentral.